AGUGAACGCUGGCGGCAGGCCUAACACAUGCAAGUCGAGCGGCAGCGCGUCCGACCACCCUCGGGUGGUCGGAUGGCGGCGAGCGGCGGACGGGUGAGGAAUGCAUUGGAAUCUGCCUCGUUGUGGGGGAUAACGUAGGGAAACUUACGCUAAUACCGCAUACGACCUACGGGUGAAAGUGGGGGACCUUCGGGCCUCACGCGAUGAGAUGAGCCGAUGCCGGAUUAGCUAGUUGGCGGGGUAAAGGCCCACCAAGGCGACGAUCCGUAGCUGGUCUGAGAGGAUGAUCAGCCACACUGGAACUGAGACACGGUCCAGACUCCUACGGGAGGCAGCAGUGGGGAAUAUUGGACAAUGGGGGCAACCCUGAUCCAGCCAUGCCGCGUGUGUGAAGAAGGCCUCGGUUGUAAG
Molecule: ribosomal RNA, 411 nt
Filed under: uncultured bacterium
Lineage: Bacteria
Description: bacterial SSU rRNA
Rfam family: Bacterial small subunit ribosomal RNA
Source: RNAcentral